GCGGAGGAAAAGAAACUAACAAGGAUUCCCCUAGUAACGGCGAGUGAACCGGGAAGAGCUCAAAUUUGAAAUCUGGCGUCCUCAGGGCGUCCGAGUUGUAAUCUAUAGAGGCGUUUUCCGUGCCGGACCGUGUCCAAGUUCCUUGGAACAGGAUAUCAAAGAGGGUGACAAUCCCGUACUUGACACGACGACCGGUGCUCUGUGAUACGUCUUCUACGAGUCGAGUUGUUUGGGAAUGCAGCUCAAAAUGGGUGGUGAGUUCCAUCUAAAGCUAAAUAUUGGCGAGAGACCGAUAGCGAACAAGUACCGUGAGGGAAAGAUGAAAAGCACUUUGGAAAGAGAGUUAAACAGUACGUGAAAUUGUUGAAAGGGAAACGAUUGAAGUCAGUCGUGACCGAGAGGCUCAGCCGGUUCUGCCGGUGUAUUCCCCUCGGUCGGGUCAACAUCAGUUUUGUCCGGUGGAUAAGGGCGGUAGGAAGGUGGCACCCUCGGGUGUGUUAUAGCCUGCCGUCGCAUACAUCGGGUGAGACUGAGGAACGCAGCUCGCCUUUAUGGCCGGGGUUCGCCCACGUCCGAGCUUAGGAUGUUGACAUAAUGGCUUUAAACGACCCGUCU
This 615-nucleotide ribosomal RNA is filed under the name Papiliotrema laurentii. RNAcentral describes it as "eukaryotic LSU rRNA". It matches the Rfam family "Eukaryotic large subunit ribosomal RNA", at positions 50 to 654 of the family's 3401-position model. The record is from RNAcentral. Lineage: Eukaryota; Fungi; Basidiomycota; Tremellomycetes; Tremellales; Rhynchogastremaceae.